ACACGUAGGGAGCAAGCGUUGUCCGGAUUUAUUGGGCGUAAAGAGCUCGUAGGCGGUUUCGUAAGUCGGAUGUGAAAACUCAAGGCUCAACCUUGAGACGCCAUUCGAUACUGCGAUGACUAGAGUCCGGUAGGGGAGCAUGGAAUUCCUGGUGUAGCGGUGAAAUGCGCAGAUAUCAGGAGGAACACCAGUGGCGAAGGCGGUGCUCUGGGCCGGAACUGACGCUGAGGAGCGAAAGCAUGGGUAGCAAACAGGAUUAGAAACCCCAGUAGUCC
Molecule: ribosomal RNA, 275 nt
Filed under: uncultured bacterium
Lineage: Bacteria
Description: partial 16S ribosomal RNA
Rfam family: Bacterial small subunit ribosomal RNA
Source: RNAcentral